UGCUGGUCGGCCCGCUGGCCGAGGGCAACCGCGCCUGGCAGGUGCAGUUCUGGCCCGACAAGAAGAACCUGGUCGGUCGCCAGGUCGAGCAAC
RNAcentral lists this transfer RNA (93 nucleotides) under Pseudomonas putida. Its description in RNAcentral is "tRNA-Ala(ggc)". The record is from RNAcentral. Lineage: Bacteria; Pseudomonadati; Pseudomonadota; Gammaproteobacteria; Pseudomonadales; Pseudomonadaceae. RNAcentral also lists the same sequence under 2 other names.